UUCUCCCUACGGGAGGCAGCAGUGAGGAAUAUUGGUCAAUGGGCGGGAGCCUGAACCAGCCAAGUCGCGUGAGGGAAGACGGUCCUAUGGAUUGUAAACCUCUUUAGGCGGGGAGCAAUGCCGGGCACGCGUGUCCGGAGGGAGAGUACCCGCAGAAUAAGCAUCGGCUAACUCCGUGCCAGCAGCCGCGGUAAUACGGAGGAUGCGAGCGUUAUCCGGAUUUAUUGGGUUUAAAGGGUACGCAGGCGGAGGCACAAGUCAGCGGUAAAAUCGCGGGGCUCAACCCCGCUCCGCCGUUGAAACUG
RNAcentral lists this ribosomal RNA (305 nucleotides) under uncultured bacterium. RNAcentral's name for it is "bacterial SSU rRNA". It matches the Rfam family "Bacterial small subunit ribosomal RNA", at positions 334 to 635 of the family's 1533-position model. The record is from RNAcentral.